ACCUAUUGGACCCGGGGGCGGUACCCGGCGCCUCCACCA
This 39-nucleotide non-coding RNA is filed under the name Bartonella tribocorum. The record is from RNAcentral. Lineage: Bacteria; Pseudomonadati; Pseudomonadota; Alphaproteobacteria; Hyphomicrobiales; Bartonellaceae.